CUUGACGGAGCAUAGUUGUUCAAGGAAACUUGCUGGUUAAAAGAUGCACUCCAGUGAACUACUUCCAACAAGCUGCCUGACCUGUGGGAAUCCUGCAUGUGUAGUUAUAAGUGCUAGUGAGGGUCCCAACAUUGAGUAGCAAUGUGGAAGCGAGAAGUCAGUGCAGACACAGAUUUUGAAUUAAAGUCUCAUAUGUCAUUA
Molecule: long non-coding RNA, 201 nt
Organism: Bombina bombina (fire-bellied toad)
Lineage: Eukaryota; Metazoa; Chordata; Amphibia; Anura; Bombinatoridae
Exons: 2
Source: RefSeq, a predicted model, not a curated record